UACGUAGGGGGCUAGCGUUGUCCGGAAUCAUUGGGCGUAAAGAGCGUGUAGGCGGCCCGGUAAGUCCGCUGUGAAAGUCGGGGGCUCAACCCUCGAAUGCCGGUGGAUACUGUCGGGCUAGAGUGCGGAAGAGGCGAGUGGAAUUCCCGGUGUAGUGGUGAAAUGCGUAGAUAUCGGGAGGAACACCAGUGGCGAAGGCGACUACCUGGCCUGUUCUUGACGCUGAGGCGCGAAAGCUAGGGGAGCAAACGGG
RNAcentral lists this ribosomal RNA (253 nucleotides) under uncultured bacterium. RNAcentral describes it as "partial 16S ribosomal RNA". It matches the Rfam family "Bacterial small subunit ribosomal RNA", at positions 524 to 776 of the family's 1533-position model. The record is from RNAcentral.